GCUGGGCCUGAAGUUCACAAGAUGGGGAAGGUGCUUGACCUACUGCUCCUCCUGCUUGUGUGUUUAAAUUAAAAUGUAGGCUUUCUGUGAAAGUGGUCAAGAACUUCUUGAUGCCUGAAGACCUGCUAAGGAACUAUCCCAGGCUGCCUGAAACGUUGAAGUUUGCCUCCAGUGAUCUUUCAGCUCAAAAACAACAACGUGUCACUUGAAACCUGUGCUUAAAUUGGUUCGAGUCGGCAUGACUGAUCAACGGUGUGUGAGAAUACAAACGUGGGUUCUCCUGGUGGACUGCUGUGCAGGAUUUCCGAUUAAGACCUCGGUGACUUAGGAACCCAGCUCACCUUUGAAGAUGU
This 353-nucleotide long non-coding RNA is filed under the name Phasianus colchicus (ring-necked pheasant). Its description in RNAcentral is "lncRNA (ENSPCLG00000006443.1)". Lineage: Eukaryota; Metazoa; Chordata; Aves; Galliformes; Phasianidae. The record is from RNAcentral.